UACGUAGGGUGCAAGCGUUGUCCGGAAUCACUGGGCGUAAAGGGCGCGUAGGCGGCCUGAUAAGUAGGGGGUGAAAUCCUGCGGCUUAACCGCAGGGCUGCCUUCUAAACUGUCGGGCUAGAGCACGGUAGAGGCAGAUGGAAUUCCCGGUGUAGCGGUGGAAUGCGUAGAGAUCGGGAAGAACAUCAGUGGCGAAGGCGGUCUGCUGGGCCGUUGCUGACGCUGAGGCGCGACAGCGUGGGGAGCAAACAGG
RNAcentral lists this ribosomal RNA (253 nucleotides) under uncultured bacterium. RNAcentral's name for it is "partial 16S ribosomal RNA". It matches the Rfam family "Bacterial small subunit ribosomal RNA", at positions 524 to 776 of the family's 1533-position model. The record is from RNAcentral.